CAGAGAGGAAGCGCUUUUAUUUUGUAGCAUUUUCGUGCAUUUCCUCUUCAGGCAGCAGACAUGAGAAGAGCAGGAGUCGGGAGACCAAUUGACCCUCAGCUCUGCACCAUUGAGGUGAAUGUUGCUGCAACAAAUAUGACUUGGCACUACUAUAGUUAUGUCCUGCCCACCUGUGAAAGAGCUGAUGGACCUCUGGCCUGCUCUUCAUAUGCCAUCUGAGGUCAUGUGGAUCAUUUCUUUCAUCUGUUUUUAUCUUUGCCGGUGUAUGCAAACCAGAACUUUCCUAACAUUGCCACACUCCUCGUUUAAUGGCCUUAUUUAGACAGAAAGCUUCCUAAACUGGAAAGACUGCAGAUGCUUUGGCUGACAUGUUCAAAGUCCAUGAUGCACAGGAAUGACAUGAUGUCCACACAAAAUGUACCACUGUUCUCCAUGCCCUUCCUGUCUAUCUACGAGAGGAAGUCUCUGGAUUUUUCAGGACAUGUGUGGAUGAUAUGGAUGACCCAGACCUGGAGGAUGCAGCAGUGGUCCUCCUGACAAUCGUCAGUGAUGAAGCCACGAGUCCAGUUAACUACGACCCAGUGAGAAUCGCUGUCAUCCUAGAGGAUGAUGUGGUGGUCGACCUCCCCAGGCUUCCUGAUACCUUCCUGGUUGUGAAAAUGAUGAUCAUCGUCUUGGUGACCUUUGCCCUCUGCUGGCUGCCUUAUCACAUCUACUUCAUUGUGACGGGUCUCAAUAAGCAGCUGAUCAAGUGGAAGUCCAUCCAGCAGGUGUACCUGUCGGUGCUGUGGCUGGCCAUGAGCUCCACCAUGUACAACCCCAUCAUCUACUGCUGCCUCAACAGCAGGUUUCGGGCCGGCUUCAAACGAGUAUUCCGCUGGUGUCCUUUCAUCAAGGUGUCCAGCUACGACGAGCUGGAGCUGCGCUCCACCCGCCAGCACCCGACCCGGCAGAGCAGCAUGUACACGCUCUCCCGAAUGGACACCACCAUGGUGGUGGUGUACAACCCCGCUGAGGGCGAGGGCGGGGCCGGCGGGGGUGGCUCCGGCAGGAAGUGGUCCAUGUCCUCCAGGAAGAGGAGCUACAUCACGUCUCGCCACACUCCCGCUGGCAGCAGCAGCGGGAGUGUGAAAAUGCAAAAUGGAGGCGUGGCGAGUUCGCAAGUUGAGGAGUUCUCUUGAGCGGCGUGAGAACCUUGCAUGUGACGCUUGUACACAAUACAUACUCUGUACAUACAAACCAGGCACAUUUGUGUAGAGCAGGGCCAGGGGCCCCGGAAUGACACCAUACCGGCCCCUGAGUUUGAAACUUUUUGCAGCAAAUUCCUAAAAAACAUGAGAAUGCUCCCGUUGUAUGCCAACUUGGACCACUGUUUUCUUGCAUUCACAUUUGAACCUUGCUAGCAAACGUGUUGUUUACAUAACUGAGGCGUUCCUCAAGGCACCCCUUUGAGUCCGCUACAAAUGUGACUUAUGGAACCAAGGUGUUGCUUGUUUACUUCACAUGCAGCCAGUAAGUCAACGUCUUUAGUUAAACUAGCGGUGUUCCUCAAGGUUCUGUUUUAGGUCCUCACGUUUUCAUCAUUUAGGCCUAUAGGUGUCAAACAUUUAGGCCAAUAGGUGUCAAACAUUUAGGCCUAUAGGUGUCAAACAUUUAGGCCUAUAGGUGUCAAACACUUAAGUGUCAAACAUUUAGGCCUAUAGGUGUCAAACAUUUUCGUCAUUUAAGCCUAUAGGUGUCAAAACAUUUAGGCCUAUAGGUGUCAAACAUUUAGGUGUCAAACAUUUAGGCCUAUAGGUGUCAAACAUUUAGGUGUCAAACAUUUAGGCCUAUAGGUGUCAAACGUUUUCAUCAUUUAGGCCUAUAGGUGUCAAACAUUUAGGCCUAUAUGUGUCAAACAUUUAGGCCUAUAGGUGUCAAACAUUUAGGUGUCGAACAUUUAGGCCUAUAGGUGUCAAACAUUUAGGUGUCAAACAUUUAGGCCUAUAGGUGUCAAACACUUAAGUGUCAAACAUUUAGGCCUAUAGGUGUCAAACGUUUUCAUCAUUUAGGCCUAUAGGUGUCAAACAUUUAGGCCUAUCAGUGUGAAACAUUUAGGUGUCAAACAUUUAGGCCUAUAGGUGUCAAACACUUAAGUGUCAAACAUUUAGGCCUAUAGGUGUCAAACGUUUUCAUCAUUUAGGCCUAUAGGUGUCAAACACAUAGGUGUCAAACAUUUAGGCCUAUAGGUGUCAAACAUUUAGGUGUCAAACAUUUAGGCCUAUAGGUGUCAAACAUUUAGGUGUCAAACAUUUAGGACUAUAGGUGUCAAACGUUUUCAUCAUUUAGGCCUAUAGGUGUCAAACAUUUAGGCCUACAUGUGUCAAAUGUUUUCAUCAUUUAGGCCUAUAGGUGUCAAACAUUUAGGCCUAUCAGUGUCAAUCAUUUAGGCCUAUAGGUGUCAAACAUUUAGGCCUAUAGGUGUCAAACAUUUAGGCCUAUAGGUGUCAAAUGUUUUCAUCAUUUAGGCCUAUAGGUGUCAAACAUUUAGGCCUAUCAGUGUCAAACAUUUAGGCCUAUAGGUGUCAAACAUUUAGGUGUCAAACAUUUAGGCCUAUAGGUGUCAAACACUUAAGUGUCAAACAUUUAGGCCUACAGGUGUCAAACAUUUAGGUGUCAAACAUUUAGGCCUAUAGGUGUCAAACGUUUUCAUCAUUUAGGCCUAUAGGUGUCAAACAUUUAGGCCUAUAUGUGUCAAAUGUUUUCAUCAUUUAGGCCUAUAGGUGUCAAACAUUUAGGUGUCAAACAUUUAGGCCUAUAGGUGUCAAAUGUUUUCAUCAUUUAGGCCUAUAGGUGUCAAACAUUUAGGCCUAUAGGUGUCAAACACUUAAGUGUCAAACAUUUAGGCCUAUAGGUGUCAAACGUUUUCAUCAUUUAGGCCUAUAGGUGUCAAACAUUUAGGUGUCAAACAUUUAGGCCUAUAGGUGUCAAACAUUUAGGUGUCAAACAUUUAGGCCUAUAGGUGUCAAACGUUUUCAUAAUUUAGGCCUAUAGGUGUCAAAUAUUUAGGCCUAUAGGUGUCAAACAUUUAGGCCUAUAGGUGUCAAACGUUUUCAUCAUUUAGGCCUAUAGGUGUCAAACAUUUAGGUGUCAAACAUUUAGGCCUAUAGGUGUCAAAUGUUUUCAUCAUUUAGGCCUAUAGGUGUCAAACAUUUAGGUGUCAAACAUUUAGGCCUAUAGGUGUCAAACAUUUAGGCCUAUAGGUGUCAAACAUUUCGGUGUCAAACAUUUAGGCCUAUAGGUGUCAAAUGUUUUCAUCAAACUCAAAGCCUGGGGGCCAGAAUUGGCCCACCACAUCAUUUCAUGUGGCCCCGCGAAAGUUUGGAAAUAAUGGGCGUCAACAAAGAACUUCAUUAUUCUUGCUAAAUGUAUUUGUUCUUUGGAUUUUAAAAGAAAAAUUGCAUGACUUUUAAAAUGUAAACCAAAUGUUAUGGGUUGUAAACCUUUGGGCAUCACAUUAUUCGAAUUGAUUCGAUUCUUGGGGAUAAGGAUUUGAUUCAGAAUCCAAAACAAUUGAGUUGAAUAUCCCCACUGAAGAGUAAAAAGUACCUAGACAAGUAGUACAACAAUGAUCAUGAAAGUUUGGCUCCCAUCACUUCCAACAUGUCGCCUGCACGAGUAAAUUCCUGCUCCGCCUUAACGCUUUUAUCACUAAUUAACAUCUAACCAUUAAUUGCGCCCUCAUUUUCAGAAGGUCUCGGCCCCGUGGUUGCAAUUAUGGCUGUUAAAACUCUUAUUUGUUGGUUCUGCUUGAGUUUAACGCUGCGCAUGCUCGGAUGGCUUUGUGUUUCUCAGAAGGAGCCAUGUGUCGCGUUUGUAAAUAUGUCCCUUUUUUGUCCAAGUCAUUGAAACAACGUUGAGAACCUGUUGAAUUAGGUCCUGACGUUGAGCACCUCAAACAUAACGUUGAAACAACAUGCUUUUUGACUACGUUUAAUCAACGUUGGCUUCUGACGUUGAUUUGAACAUUGAAUUUUGGUCAUUUCCCAACCAAUAUUCUAUAACACAAAUACAACAUGCUUUUUGACUACGUUUAUUCAAUGUUGGGUUGUGACGUUGAUUUGACCUUUGAAAUUUGGUCAUGUUCCAACCAAUAUUCUACAACACAAAUACAACGUUGAAACAACAUGCUUUUUAAUGACUUUUAUUCAAUGUUGGGUUCUGACGUUGAUUUGAACAUUGAAUUUUGGUAAUUUCUGUUAUGUUUACCAGGAGGGAGUUGACGGCACAGACACUAGGGGGCAGUAAAGCACUAUGAUUUAUUAUAUAUAUAGGCAAUAUAUAUAUAAUAAUCAAACAAUAUUAACCAAUAACUAUAGAGUGGUGUGAGUGACAAAAUCCAAGAGUGUGUGUGAGGCUAUGUGUGUGGUUAGCUGUAGUGUGUGUUACUAAGUGUUGUGUUGAGCGAGAGGAGGGACAAAGCAGGAAGGCAGUCCGUGGUCAUGUGAGAGGUCGAGAUCCAAGGGAGGCAGUCCAGAAUCCAGAGGGGAACAACAGGGGAUCACAACAGGAAAACUCGGGAACGAACUGCGGGAGGACAACACGGACAUCAGACACGGAGGGGAAACGCAGAGAGAGAGAACAUAAAGCUGGAGUCGGCUUACGGUACACCAUAGAGGAUUAAGUUCCCGCGAGGAUCCUAGGGUCCACUGGUCCUUAUACCGCUCGCCCUCAUCAGUCCCAGGUGUGCAGAUUGCUGAUCGCAGUCUCGGCGCGCUGCCAGCGGAGGUGCUGGCAGACCCAGCUGCCGGGGAAAAGCGGGUUCGAGCCCGCGCCGUGACAAUUUCCCAACCGAUAUUCUACAACAUUGAAACAACAUGCUUUUUGCCGACAUUUAAUCAAUGUCAGGUUGAUGUUGAUUUGACCAUUGAAUUUUGGUCAUUUUCCAAACAUUUGAAAACUAUUUUGCAACCUUGUUUCAAUGUCAGUUUUAAAGGACAUGUACGUACAAUCAACGUUGUACGUACAUGCAGCACAGCACUGUGCCUGCUGGGUCAGUAUUAACUGAACUUCACUGUGGGGGCGGGGAAUACUUAUUUAAUCCACUAUUGAUUUUGUAAGUUUACCCCUUUACAAAUACAUUAUGGCAUGGGGUGUCCAAAGUGUGGCCCUGGGGCCAUUUGCGGCCCACAGUUAUUUUUUUAAUGGCCCACGGCACAUUUUUUUAAAUACUAUACCAAAAAAGAAAAAAAGUGGGAUAAAAAACAAACAGGUGACUUGUAAGAGAAAAUGUUGCAAUAAUGGCGAUAAUAACACGAAGUUGCCAUGCAGUCAGUUUUUUACUUUAAAACUGUCAUAGCUCGUAAAUAUGAAG
Molecule: RNA transcript, 5353 nt
Organism: Entelurus aequoreus (snake pipefish)
Lineage: Eukaryota; Metazoa; Chordata; Actinopteri; Syngnathiformes; Syngnathidae
Gene name: neuromedin-K receptor-like
Exons: 9
Source: RefSeq, a predicted model, not a curated record